AGAAGCUGUAGGUCUGUCUUCCAUUAGUAAUUACCUCGUGGGAGGGAGGCUACUUCACAAGAGACUAUUGUCCUCUGAUGUAAUAUACUGGUCCGGUGUCCUGCAGCCCCAUUAAAUUCAUGUUAUCCAUGAUGACGAUAUGCUUAUGAUUCACUAAGGAGAUUGGCUGAAUGUUGUUCCCAUCCCUGGACCUUCUCCUUCUCCUUUCCACUGAGAGCAACCUCGGGCAUCAGUGGAUACAGAGCCUGUGGCCUUACUGAGGAUGUGGCUGGACCCUGGGAGUUUGCAGUGUGUGCUGAGACUUGAUUAGGCCUCAGGAAUGAAUCUAAAAGCCUCCCUGGAGAGCAGAAGGCACUGGACAGUGGUUGCUGCCAUGCAGAUGAAGAAGGCCGUGAUUCAAUGGCAUUUCACUCACUGAAGCUAAUGAGCUCUUCCUGUCCCCACACUGACCACAGGAUAUCAGUAGAUGAGGAGAUGAAUCUAAGCCUAAGAAAGGACCAGCAGCAGCAUAAGACUUUCCUGACACAGCUGACUGG
Calidris pugnax (ruff) is the source of this 536-nucleotide long non-coding RNA. RefSeq lists it as uncharacterized. Lineage: Eukaryota; Metazoa; Chordata; Aves; Charadriiformes; Scolopacidae. The transcript is spliced from 4 exons. The record is from RefSeq and is a predicted model, not a curated record.